Small nucleolar RNA from Papio anubis (olive baboon), 100 nucleotides. Lineage: Eukaryota; Metazoa; Chordata; Mammalia; Primates; Cercopithecidae. The record is from Ensembl.
AUCUUCUGUAGUUCAUCAGUAUGAUAAUUGGGUGUUUCACACACAUGUGAGAUGUAUCAUUCUCAAACCUUGUUAUGAUGUCAGCACUACCCAUCUAACC